RNAcentral lists this ribosomal RNA (497 nucleotides) under uncultured bacterium. RNAcentral describes it as "partial 16S ribosomal RNA". It matches the Rfam family "Bacterial small subunit ribosomal RNA", at positions 28 to 507 of the family's 1533-position model. The record is from RNAcentral.
GAUGAACGCUGGCGGCGUGCCUAAUACAUGCAAGUCGAGCGAACGGACGAGAAGCUUGCUUCUCUGAUGUUAGCGGCGGACGGGUGAGUAACACGUGGAUACCCUACCUAUAAGACUGGGAUAACUUCGGGAAACCGGCGCUAAUACCGGAUAAUAUUUUGAACCGCAUGGUUCAAAAGUAAAAGACGGUCUUGCUGUCACUUAUAGAUGGAUCCGCGCUGCAUUAGCUAGUUGGUAAGGUAACGGCUUAUCAAGGCAACGAUGCAUAGCCGACCUGAGAGGGUGAUCGGCCACACUAGAACUGAGACACGGUCCAGACUCCUACGGGAGGCAGCAGUAGGGAAUCUGCCGCAAUGGGCGAAAGCCUGACGGAGCAACGCCGCGUGAGUUAUGAAGGUCUUCGGAGCGUAAAGCUCUGUUAUUAGGGAAGAACAUAUGUGUAAGUAACUGUGCACAUCUUGACGGUACCUAAUCAGAAAGCCACGGCUAACUACGUG